AUGGCCUCCUCUUCUCCCACCGUCACAACGCUUAGGCGAAAUGGCGCAGACAUACUCGUGGAGGCCCUCGAGCGCUGUGGAGUUGGCGACGUGUUCGCGUACCCGGGCGGUGCGUCCAUGGAGAUCCACCAGGAGCUCACGCGCUCGCCCACCAUCCGCACCCACCUGCUCCGCCACGAGCAGGGCGAGGCCUUCGCCGCGUCAGGCUACGCGCGCGCUUCCGGCCGGCCCGGCGUCUGCAUCGCCACCUCCGGCCCCGGUGCCACCAACCUCGUCACCGCGCUCGCCGAUGCGUAUCUCGACUCUUGGCAACACCUGAGCGCGCCACAGGAGGUAGUUAUCAGCAGAGAGCUUCACCGUCACCAGAUGAGCGAAGUGGAACGGUCCUGGUUCAGCCACCGGUGCGGAGAGCUGCGAGUCGAGCAUCGGAGGAGCACUAUACGGAAUCAGCGCAUCGGCCGACGGAGGCGCACGGUAGUGUUGGUGAUGACCAUAGGACACCGUAGGAGGUACGCCGUAGGGCUGCAGCGACGCGACAUACGGCACAGAGGCCGCAUAGGGCGCGCCGUACGGCGCCUCGUAGGGCACCGCAGAGGACGAAGCAUACGGCACUGGCGCGACGUACGGCGAUGGCGACGGCGCGACGUACGGUGCUGGAUACGACCCGCCGUAGGGGACCUGAACGGGAGCACCAGGGGGGCGGAGGCCGGCGCCGCAGCAUGCGCUUGA
This 729-nucleotide ribosomal RNA is filed under the name Triticum aestivum (bread wheat). Its description in RNAcentral is "partial small subunit ribosomal RNA". Lineage: Eukaryota; Viridiplantae; Streptophyta; Magnoliopsida; Poales; Poaceae. The record is from RNAcentral.